AUUGAACGCUGGCGGCAUGCUUUACACAUGCAAGUCGAACGGUAACAGGGUGCUUGCACCGCUGACGAGUGGCGAACGGGUGAGUAAUGCGUCGGAACGUGCCGAGUAGUGGGGGAUAACGCAGCGAAAGUUGUGCUAAUACCGCAUACGUACUGAGGUAGAAAGUGGGGGACCUUCGGGCCUCACGCUAUUCGAGCGGCCGACGUCUGAUUAGCUAGUAGGUGAGGUAAAGGCUCGCCUAGGCGACGAUCAGUAGCGGGUCUGAGAGGAUGAUCCGCCACACUGGACUGGGACACGGCCCAGACUCCUACGGGAGGCAGCAGUGGGGAAUUUUGGACAAUGGGCGAAAGCCUGAUCCAGCCAUGCCGCGUGUCUGAAGAAGGCCUUCGGGUUGUAAAGGACUUUUGUCAGGGAGGAAAUCCCUAGUGCUAAUAACACUGGGGGAUGACAGUACCUGAAGAAUAAGCACCGGCUAACUACGUGCCAGCCGCCGCCGUAA
This 499-nucleotide ribosomal RNA is filed under the name uncultured bacterium. RNAcentral describes it as "partial 16S ribosomal RNA". It matches the Rfam family "Bacterial small subunit ribosomal RNA", at positions 30 to 523 of the family's 1533-position model. The record is from RNAcentral.